RNAcentral lists this long non-coding RNA (269 nucleotides) under Gossypium barbadense (sea-island cotton). Its description in RNAcentral is "long non-coding RNA (GBAR_LNC013324)". The record is from RNAcentral. Lineage: Eukaryota; Viridiplantae; Streptophyta; Magnoliopsida; Malvales; Malvaceae.
AACUGUUGAGCGGCGCCGAAAGAAAGAGUUUAGGUUUUAAAACAAAAGUAAAUGUUAGGUUUUCCUUAAAGGUUUAUUUUAGUUUUAAUCGCAAGAUCUGAAACAUCGUCGUCUGGUUGCCCUCGACCCGCGCGGUGACCCGACCCAAGGGCAGGAUCCGCGUGUUUUGGGUCUGAUAGGAUUUUUGCGCUCUUAGUCCUUUUUUGUAUUGCCUUCAAAUAAACCUUUAUGUUACGUCUAAAUUUGGCCAUGCUUUUUUGCGUUCAUUC